GAUCAUUGACAUAUUUGAUAAGCGACAAAAACAAGAGAUAAAUCUGUGGGUGCAAUGCCCACUAGUGACUAAUCCUCGAAAGGGGUGGAGUCGUUAGCCCUAGGCCUAUUGCGCUAGGGGUGGAGCUGGGGAGUUUAACUAGUCCAGCCAUCGGAGAGCGAAGCUCCCUGACGACAC
RNAcentral lists this small RNA (177 nucleotides) under unclassified sequences. RNAcentral's name for it is "DUF2693 RNA". It matches the Rfam family "DUF2693 RNA". The record is from Rfam by way of RNAcentral.